AGAACGAACGCUGGCGGCAUGCCUAAUACAUGCAAGUCGAACGAACUCUUCGGAGUUAGUGGCGCACGGGUGCGUAACGCGUGGGAAUCUGCCCCUUGGUUCGGAAUAACAGUUGGAAACGACUGCUAAUACCGGAUGAUGACGAAAGUCCAAAGAUUUAUCGCCAAGGGAUGAGCCCGCGUAGGAUUAGCUAGUUGGUGAGGUAAAGGCUCACCAAGGCAACGAUCCUUAGCUGGUCUGAGAGGAUGAUCAGCCACACUGGGACUGAGACACGGCCCAGACUCCGUACGGGAGCAGCAGUAGGGAAUAUUGGAAC
Molecule: ribosomal RNA, 316 nt
Filed under: uncultured soil bacterium
Lineage: Bacteria
Description: bacterial SSU rRNA
Rfam family: Bacterial small subunit ribosomal RNA
Source: RNAcentral